UCGUAGCAAACUAAGAAUACUAGGCAUUGCUUUCCGUUAACCAGUGAGACGGUGGGGGAUAAGCUUCAUCGUCGAAAGGGAAACAGCCCAGAUCACCAGCUAAGGCCCCAAAAUGACCGCUAAGUGGCAAAGGAGGUAGGAAUGCUGAAACAACCAGGAGGUUUGCCUAGCAGCAGCCAUCCUUUAAAGAGUGCGUAAUAGCUCACUGGUAGAGCGUUCUUGCGCCGAAAAUGAACGGGACUAAGCGGUCUGCCGAAGCUGUGGGUAAGACUUAUUAAAAGGUAUAAGAUAUAAAAAGCUUGUAAAAUUUCUAAUUUCUAAUAUUAAAGAUUUCUUUUAAUUUGAAAGGAAACCUUUUUUUGAUCUUACGGUAGGGGAGCGUUCCGCUCUAGGGUGAAGCUCCAACGUAAGUUGGUGUGGACAAAGCGGAAGUGAGAAUGUCGGCUUGAGUAACGAAAACAUUGGUGAGAAUCCAAUGCCCCGAAAACCUAAGGCUUCCUCCACAAGGCUCGUCCAUGGGGGGUUAGUCGGGACCUAAGGCCAGGCCGAAAGGCGUAGUCGAUGGAAAACAGGUUAAUAUUCCUGUACUAAUUUGAUAGUGGUACCGAGGGACGAAGAAGGGAACAGUUGGUCAAUAUUGGAUGUUGGCGGAAACGUCCAAGGUGAUGAAAGAUAGAAUAAAAACUCUUCUUGAGCUGAGGCGUAACACGGUUUGAUUCCCUGAAGAAUAGUAUUGUUCAAAAUGAAACUCAACUAGUUGUCAUACUUCCUAGAAAAGCUCGAACUUCCAAUACUAAAAGAUUACCCGUACCCGAAACCGACACAGGUAGGUAGG
Molecule: ribosomal RNA, 835 nt
Filed under: Trebouxia sp. PAL1
Lineage: Eukaryota; Viridiplantae; Chlorophyta; Trebouxiophyceae; Trebouxiales; Trebouxiaceae
Description: LSU rRNA
Rfam family: Bacterial large subunit ribosomal RNA
Source: RNAcentral